GAGGAUCACUUGAGCCCAGGAGUGCUGGGCUGUAGUGGGCUGUGUUGAUCAGGUGUCUGCACCAAGUUGAGCAUCAGUAUGGUGAACUUCCAGGAACUAGAGACCACGAGGUUGCCUAAGGAGGGGUGAAUCGACCCAGGUUGGAAAUGGACCAGGUUAAAACUCCUGUGCUGAUCACUGCUAGUGGGAUUAUGCCUGUGAAUAGCCACUACCCUCCAGUUUGGGCAACAACAUGACCCCAUCUUU
Molecule: signal recognition particle RNA, 246 nt
Filed under: Homo sapiens (human)
Lineage: Eukaryota; Metazoa; Chordata; Mammalia; Primates; Hominidae
Description: misc_RNA-SRP_RNA-related
Rfam family: Metazoan signal recognition particle RNA
About the family: The signal recognition particle (SRP) is a universally conserved ribonucleoprotein.
Source: RNAcentral